Nothobranchius furzeri (turquoise killifish) is the source of this 4387-nucleotide long non-coding RNA. Lineage: Eukaryota; Metazoa; Chordata; Actinopteri; Cyprinodontiformes; Nothobranchiidae. The record is from Ensembl.
AUGGGAGCACUUCACUCUAGAUGUCAAGAAAAGACGGGUGACUGCAAAAUAUGCAAAAACCAUCUAGCAUGGCACGGAAGCACGACAUCCCUAAGUGAACAUUUGAGACGAAAACAUGUGGGGGCUGCUGCAGCAGAGGAAAGUCCGAAAAAAACAAGCAACGAUGGACAACUACAUGAGGAACAAGACACUCACCCCCCAGCAAUGCAUACCACUUACAAACUCUAUUCUAGAUUCUACAUUAUUUUUAUGGAAUUUACCUCUUAUAUUUUGAUGCCAAAAAAUUAUUCUGGACUGAUAUUUUGCACUGUUUAGCUCAUUUUACACCACUGAAUGUGUUCAUGUGCAAUAAAAUAGAUUGCAGUCAACUGCACAAUUCUCUUAUGUUUUUCUUUUUCUUAACUGAAAUGUAUUCAUCACUUGUAUAGGUUAAAUAGCUAAACAAUAACAAACCGAUUAAUCGAUUAAUCGAAAAAAAUAAUCAACGGAUUAAUCGAUUAUGAAAAUAAUCGUUAGUUGCAGCCCUAGUGAGAAUACACAACUUCUCAUGUCCAGUGCUCGACAAAAGCAAUAAAAUUGGUUUUAGUGUUUAUCGUCUUGUCUUUAUGUGAUUUUUAACUAAAAUGAAGAAGAAAUAUAUAUGUUACAUAAUGUUUUUCAUUUGGAAGUAGAAUUGUUCACGAAGAGGAAAUUCAUACAUCAAAUGUGGGGAAAAACAAUAGCAAAAUUAUGAAUACUGGGUCAAAAAUGAAAACAAAUGCCAUUGGUGCAUUUUGUUCUCUGGGUACAGUUUAGUCUGAAUCCACUCAGACCGUUAUGGAAUGAGCAUGCAUUGGUUUGGUUUAUCACUAUAAGAUAGGAGCAAACACCCAAUGAUGUCCACACUUUUUUCACAUAGCGCACAGCGAUGUCCUUACACAUUUUUAUGCCGAUCAAAUGAGGAUGUAGAAUUCCCAACAUGGCAGGGUCCAGGAUGAAGCCUGAAUGAUGAUGCCACUGAUAUCCGUCUUGCUUUUAGAAUGUUAUUCAAAGAGUCACGGGCAUUGUAUUUUCUGUGUGUUUUUCCUGUUUUUGCGGAAUAAAUCAAGUUAAUUAAACCUUCUGAAUCGUGGUCAUUUUUAGAGUGUAUCAAUGACAAAGUUAGAGGGGUGAGUCAAGCCCUCCCCUGGGAGAAAGAGACGGGUACGAGAUUCACCAGCUGGAGGUGAUCUUGACAUUUUUACGGACCUAAGUCGUUUAUCAAGCCUGUGUUUUUUUUUUUUUACAAAGAUCAGCCUAAGUAAAAUAACAAGUUGUUUGGGUCAAAUCUUGAGGACGUUGAAGAUUUCCUACAUUACUGCUGAAUCCUGCAUAAUCUGUAAAAGCUCAAGGUGUGUGUUGGAAAGGAUUCUCAGCUGCUACCACAUCAAACUGUGGCUCUGCAUCUGUAAAAUUAUCUAAGUUAUGUUUGUUUUUGUGUUUGCUGGUGUCAGUCAUGUGUAGCAGCCAUCUUGAAUGGCAAAACCAACAUGGCCAGCUGUUACAAAAUACAGCUCAAAAAGGUUAGAUAAUGGUGCAAAUGUUCAUUUAUGUUGGUAAUUCAACUUAAAAGGGGAAACUAAUACAUGUGAUAGACUCACUACAUGCAAAGCCAGAUAUUUCAAGCUUUUACUUGCUAUAAUUGUGAAGAUUAAGGCUUUCAGCCUAAUCUCAAUUAGAAUAUUGUGAAAAGGUUAAAUAAUCCAGGCUCAAAGUGUCACGCUCUAAUCAGCUAAUGAAUCCAAAACACCUGCAAAGGGUUCUUGAGCCUUUUGAUGGUCUCUCAGUCUUAGUUGGAUUACUGAAAAAAAAACUUUUCACCAUAUUCUCAUUUUAUGAGUUUCACAUGUAUACAUAAUUUUUACAAAAGCUUAAGAAACAUGCAUAAUUUUUCAGCCAAACCAAACAAAUGUCCCAAUAAUCAGGUUUCGGUACUCCUGAUUGUAUCUUACCAUCCUCUCCUGGAGCCUCGCUGUCAAAGCCAUGAACACAGUUGGGAAUAGCCUCUCAGGAGCAAUACCACUAGCCAUUAUCCCUCAACCGUCUUAUCAUUUUCCAGCAGCUAUUCUGUGGAAUACACGCCUCCUGGGAGGAAAAUGGACUCAUGCAGGCAGGCAACUUAUUAUCAAGUAAAAUCACUGCCACCCGAUAGGUGAGCUCAACGUGGCAAAAUGGAGUCUGCAGAAAGCAUCUGUCUUGCUGAAGAGACAUUGAAUAUGAGCUGCUGUGCUUUGUAGGGUGUGUGGGUGAGACCAGUGUGAAGUGAGGUAAUCCCUCCUAAUGAAUCCAUCACCUCAUGCUAAAAGGUACACGUGCAGCAGGAGAUAAAUGUCCAAAAAAACAAGCAUGGAUCAGUAGUAAAAUUAAUAAAGUUAAUGAAUCAUCAGGGCGUGGCUCCACCACAUGUAUUCAAAGACUGUCCUAAUUCAGGUGUAGUAUGUUUGUAAUGACCUGGCCUACCCAUCUGAAGAGUUGUGACAAAAAAAUGAAGACUAUUUUAAACUAAAAAGGGACAAGUGGUAAUCAAAAGCAUGAAACUUAUCAACUACCUAGUUCCCAAGAAGAUCGCGGUCACUGUCUUGUUGUGACACAAAGAAAUCUGGGGAAAUCAACUCGGACCUGAACCUCGUGUGUGAUUGGCAGUCUUGGCUUUUUAAAGGAGUGCCACUCCCUAGCUGUCAUCAUGGCAACUCGAAACAGCUGCACCAGCUGCAUCCAGAGAGGAGGAGAGGCGGUAGUGCAUCCUCAGUCUGCUGCUGUCCGUGGUGCUGAUUUACACAGGAGCAGGUGCUGUUCGUAGUGCUGCACAGAGAGAGGCAAAGUGUAGCAGACACAGGCGCUGUCCCUGGUGCUGAACCCCUGGUCUGGGGUGGACAGGUGGUGUAACAUUGCAAUUAUUGACCUUUCUCAUCCUAAGAACCCACCAAGACCACUCCUGUUCUUGCCUUUUCUAAAUCUUGUAGUGGGGUUUUUACUCAUUAUAAAAGGGGCUUUAGGGUAGUUUUUUCUGUUUGUGGUGUAUUUGAUUAUGUGAAAUCUAACUAUGGAGAAAUCUUAAACCUUUCCAUAUUUAGUGACAAAAACCUAUAAAAUCUUUGAGUAACUCAAUGGUUUGCCAAAAUCCCUUUUUAUAGCCUGUCGACCCUACACAGGUUUAGAGCGUCAAAGAUAAAAUGACCCCAUUCAGAGUUUCCUCUUGUGGGUCUUACAGAAAACCUAAAAGUGAGUUUUAAGUAAAAUUAAUAACAGCAGCAGCCAGAAUCUUCACCAGAAGGUAAAUAACCAGGAAAACACCAAUGGUCCUCUGUUAUGCCCGCUUUAAUCCCCAUCAAAGCCAGCUUUCGCGUGUCAGAGUUUAUCCUGUACAAGGGAGAUUUAGUUGUCACAAAUAACAACAAUUUAAUUUGGCUUAGCACUAAUUGUGGUUCACUGAUGUGUAACAGUUUUGACUGACUCUUGGUGGGAGACUAAUUGGGAGCUUCUGGAGUUAUGAGAAGGAUUACCAGUGGCCUUUGUCACCCUGUGUGUUCAAACAUAUGAUUUUAUGAUUUGUACCAAAUUGAUGGAUGCAUGUACUUACUGUAUUAUACCUUCUUCUUGUUUCUAUUGUAUUAUGCUGCUGAGAGACCGCUGCUCGUCAACCACAUUUCAUUGCAAUGUUGACCCUGUGCUAACUUGCACAUGACAAAUAAAAACUAAACUACUUGAGUUGACACAUUCAUCCAUCUACACACAGCCUGUAAACAUGUUCAAACAAGGAUUUUUUUAACAAAAGUAGGCAAAAGGUCAAAUUUGAACAUCCAAGAUGUAAGCUAACAGUUUUUUCUUUCAGGGUAAAAUGUGUAAAAUUUAAAGAGCAAGUCACCCCCAAAUAAACAUUUUUUUUGCUGAUAAACUAAAUAAACGAGUGUCUAAUCGUGCUGUAGACACGUGUCGUCAAUAAUUUGGCACUUCAGUGCAUCUUAGUUAAAAUUUAAAUGUUCUGCCUAAAACUGGCAGUGUUGUGCCGUUGUCAGGUAAAAACUCUGCACUGUAUUUUAAUUUAAAUCUGUCACCGCUAUUGGCUAAGAGGUAUGCUAUGAUGUAAACUGGUACAUUAUGAUGUCACAAUGCUGUCGUGAGCCUGAGUGUGUGUGUAUUUGUUAGCAGCUCCGCCCUCUCGGUCUGCCAGGCAACAGCAUUUGUUGCAUUUUUCAAACAUGAAGUGGGAGUGGAGUUAGACUCUGGUAGGGGGUGACUUGCUCUUUAAAUCAACCGUUUAACAGAUCAAGAUAGUUUUGAUCGUUUCUUCUUUUUUGGGUGAUAAUCAAAACACUGAAAUCUGACUUCAUCAACAUUUACGCUAUCCUGAUAUUGAAGCUAGUUUAAA